CCUACGGGAGGCAGCAGUGGGGAAUAUUGCACAAUGGGGGAAACCCUGAUGCAGCGACGCCGCGUGAGUGAAGAAGUAUUUCGGUAUGUAAAGCUCUAUCAGCAGGGAAGAAAAUGACGGUACCUGAUUAAGAAGCCCCGGCUAACUACGUGCCAGCAGCCGCGGGAAUACGUAGGGGGCAAGCGUUAUCCGGAUUUACUGGGUGGAAAGGUAGCGUAGACGGCAGCACAAGUCUGGAGUGAAAUGCCGGGGGUUAACCCCGGGACUGCUUUGGAAACUGUGCAGCUAGAGUGAAGGAGAGGUAAGUGGAAUUCCUAGUGUAGCGGUGAAAUGCGUAGAUAUUAGGAGGAACACCAGAGGCGAAGGCAGCUUACUGGGCUGAAACUGACGUUGAGGCUCGAAAGCGUGGGGAGCAAACAGGAUUAGAUACCCCAGUAGUC
Molecule: ribosomal RNA, 440 nt
Filed under: uncultured bacterium
Lineage: Bacteria
Description: partial 16S ribosomal RNA
Rfam family: Bacterial small subunit ribosomal RNA
Source: RNAcentral